CUUAAAUAGUUUAAUUAAAAUAUUAACUUUGGGAGUUAAUGAUCGUUAAGUCUUGCGUUUAUGG
This 64-nucleotide transfer RNA is filed under the name Megaustenia imperator imperator. Its description in RNAcentral is "tRNA-Pro". Lineage: Eukaryota; Metazoa; Mollusca; Gastropoda; Stylommatophora; Ariophantidae. The record is from RNAcentral.